This 216-nucleotide ribosomal RNA is filed under the name Glomeromycotina sp. RNAcentral's name for it is "partial small subunit ribosomal RNA". The stretch from base 75 to 216 matches the Rfam family "Eukaryotic small subunit ribosomal RNA", at positions 721 to 864 of the family's 1831-position model. The record is from RNAcentral. Lineage: Eukaryota; Fungi; Glomeromycota.
GGGUCAGUAGGUUGGUCGUGCCACCGGUACGUACUGGUCUCACUGAUUCCUCCCUCCUGAAGAACCGUAAUGCCAUUAAUUUGGUGUUGCGGGGAAACAGGACUGUUACUUUGAAAAAAUUAGAGUGUUUAAAGCAAGCUAACGCUCGAAUACAUUAGCAUGGAAUAAUGAAAUAGGACGAUCGAUCCUAUUUUGUUGGUUUCUAGGAUUGACGUA